UACGGAGGGUGCUAGCGUUGUUCGGAAUUACUGGGCGUAAAGCGCGCGUAGGCAGCAGCGUGUGUCGGGCGUGAAAUCCCACGGCUCAACCGUGGAAGUGCACUCGAAACUGCGCAGCUAGAGUCUCGGAGAGGAAGGCGGAAUGCUUGGUGUAGAGGUGAAAUUCGUAGAUAUCAAGCGGAACACCGGUGGCGAAGGCGGCCUUCUGGACGAUGACUGACGCUGAAGCGCGAAAGCGUGGGGAGCAAACAGG
Molecule: ribosomal RNA, 253 nt
Filed under: uncultured bacterium
Lineage: Bacteria
Description: partial 16S ribosomal RNA
Rfam family: Bacterial small subunit ribosomal RNA
Source: RNAcentral